Phasianus colchicus (ring-necked pheasant) is the source of this 5459-nucleotide non-coding RNA. Lineage: Eukaryota; Metazoa; Chordata; Aves; Galliformes; Phasianidae. The record is from RefSeq and is a predicted model, not a curated record.
UCCCAGACCUCAUUUAAGGGUUGGCAGUGGAGGUGAAGGGAUCCUGUUGAAGUUUCCUGCCUACCAGAGGCUUUCUAAGGUGAUUUCAGCACGUGAAGCCCCAGGAAAAUGCAGCAUAUUUGAAUCCCUGUGUAGUGUGGGAAAAGCUAUUUGUGUCUGUAGUUGCUGGAUAUCAUUUGCAAGGCACAUUCUGUGUUCAACAUGCCCGGGUCAGCCUUGUGCUUGAAGGCUGUCCACAGGAGUGACAGCCCAGCAGGACUUACGUGUGCACAAAUGGAACAGCAAAGCCUGAACGUCCCUUCCCGUGCCAUGUGCUGAGACAAACAGCGAGUGGAGAGCAGCAGGGCGUUCCCAGAAGGGCUGAGGAUGUGGCCAAACAGCUCCUGGCAGCAGGUGCCAGGGUGGAAGUGGCUGUGGUUCCAGAUAAGAUGUCAGGUGCAGUGUGGGACUGCUGGGGAGCUGAGAGCUGCUGGCGUUGGCUGGAGAGCACUCAGGGCAGUGCUGCUGGGGCUUCUGCAAUAUCCAUACACCUUUAAAAACCUGUUUCUAAAUACUUAUUAUAAAUUACAAACGAUGUAGUUGACACAAAUAUCUAUUUCUCUUGCUUGUGAAGUGUGAUACUCCAAGCUGAACGCCUGUUUUGCACCCUGUGAGCAGGGCUGCUGCUGUGCUGUGAGCACAUUCUUACACAGUUCAUUGCUGGAACAAGUGGUUUCAGCAUGUCCUAAUGCAAUAGGUGCAGAUUGUUCCUGGUUUUGUGUACACACGUAUGGAACUGAGAAUGAUAAUUAAAUUGAUCCUUUCUUUCUCAUUGGAAGUUGACAGCUGAUCCUUGUAUACAGGUUCAUUACUGCAUAUACUGUUUCUGUGCUAAGACACUUUUUUUCCACCAGUCUGAGGGCAGUUCUGUCCAAUGCUUUCAGUUCCCAUUGCCUUCUCUUGAAAACAGAAACAGUAAUAUGAAAAUUUAAAAAUACUGAAAAACUUGAAAUGCUAAAUGGGAGCUCUCUAAGUGGGAUGACACCAGUGUAGGUAGGAGCAUGCACUGCUCCUUCCUGCCUUGUGCCAGUAGCCCACCCUGAGCACGUUCUGUUCCCCAGCUCCAUUGGGUGACGUGGGCAGGAGAGCGUGCUGCAGUCAGGCUCUGCACCUCAUGGCACAGAUGUACACCCCAUCCUGUAUGGCUCAACAAAUGCAUUUGAGCAGUUUUGCUGCAGCUCUGCCAAUUUUCCACCUGCACGGGUCCUCAGCAAGAGGUAUGGAUCCAUUUGUUGGAAACAGCUGAUCAGGAAUGGAGCAUCUGUCCAGGAACAAACGUUUUGAUGAGGCCAUGGGUGGCAAAACAUUUUCUGUGGUACUUUUUUUUUUUUUUGCCCGAGGCACCUCCCUUUUGCUGUCAACAUAAUACAUCAUCUGUCUGGGAGCAGUAGCAGUGAGAUGGGAUUACUGACAGCUUCUCCGCUUCUUUAUUCCUUGCCUCUCAUCACAGCCACUGCACAGCAUGGGGAAUGACAGAACGUGGAGCUCCUUUGCUGGUGCUUUGCUCAAUUAACCCACGCAGGGCUGGGGAUUGCCCUGGAGGAGGAUGGAGAUCAGCUCUGAAAUCUUCCUGAUCCUGCAGGAGUCCUGCUGUACUCGAGGGGCCUUUCCACCUGCAGUGAGUGCAGAGGUGUCCCUGGGCUCCUUCCUAGGGGCUGGGAAAGGGAGCUGUGGGAAGCCCACCUGCUGUGUCCCAGGAGGUGCUGGGGCUGCAGGAGCCAACACUUCCUCCCAGGGGGGAGAUGCAUUGCUCCGUGUGAGCUCUGCUGCACUGCCUGUGCAGGACAGGUCUUUCUCCUCCCCUCGCCUUAAGGUUUGCACCUUUGCUUUGUCUGCGUCUGCUGGAUCUUGCAGGAAAGUCUCUGGAGUGAGGGUCACAGCUGUGCAGGAGCUGAGCACCUUUUGCCAUGGAAAAAGGGCCAGAGCUGGCAGGGGAAAGCCUCUGGGUGAUGCGAAAGGGCCUUGAAGCUACCUGACUUCAGGAGAAAGCCAGGAGGGGUAAAACGGUCCGUGACCUCUCCAUGCUGGCCUGAUUGGAGCUUGAAAGGGAGCUGUGGAGCCCUGCUGCUCACUGCUCGAGUGGUGACCUCAUCCCUGCGAAAGUUAAUUCAGCCAGGAGCAGCCUGAAAGCUCUCGAGAUCCGUAUCUGUAAGGGACAGGGAUGGCCCUCAGCCUUCAGGAGAACUGCAGUGCUGUGAGGGAAGGUCCGAGAGAGAUUCUGCAGCUUCCUGAAGUUAUCUCAAGCUUUCAUCUCCAAAUACAAAGGCUCAUGCAGACUUUGUAUUCUGUUAGUGUAACACCGAAUGUCCUCGUUCUUCAGGUAUUUAUAGCAACUUACACAGCUCCCAUAAUAGCUUUUUUGGCUCAGCACCUCACAACAGAGUGCAUUGUUAUCCCCUUUCCAUGGAUGUGGAAUUAGGGCACACAGAUGCAGCCAUUUCUGCUGGAUUUCCCAUAGCCCAGAGCAGAGUCCUGGCCCCACAAUACUCUGAGAUGCCCCAGAUGUGAUCAGAGCCCUUGCUCUGUGCCUCAGUUUCCCCAUCCACAAAAGUUGCAUUGUAACAGGUUAAGCAGCAGACUGAAGUGGUAUAAAGCCAAAUUACUUUCUGCUAAUGCCAUUUCUUGCACCCUGAUAGUGCAAUCAGCAUGAUGCACUUUUGCAUUAUAAUGUAGUGGUGAUGUUAUGCUGCAGUGUAUUAAUUAAAUUCUUCAGUAUUAUCCCCUACUGAUAGAAUAACUUGAUAGUGGGAAUGGAACUCAAGCUUGUCAUGGAUUGGGUUGGGAGCUCUGGGAAGAUGGAUUCUCCCCAAUGCAACCAAAGUGGUGAUACAGAGGUGGAGCUCUAUAAUGUUUCCAUUAAUGCUGCCAUAGGAAUGUCUGCAGCUCACAGUCCCUGUGUCUCAUCCUGCAGGUACUGAAUGCACGUGUAGUUGUGUGCCUGCUCCAGCAGGGCUGCAGCCCAAAGCUGUGCCUGCUCUGCAGAACUGUGCUCCAGCACAUGUACAUCAAAGGUCUGGAAGGCCUUCGGUGGAGAUGUGCUGUGCAGAUGGGAGCUUACAAUUUCUAACAGGGAGGUACAGCUGCAGGACCCUUUAAGGAUUGUGUUCAGUGCAGUGCAAACUUCUCUAUGGCUGUGGUCUUAAUGUGCCCUGUUUCAUGAUGGUGAUUAGUUGGAUUAAGUUGUAUUGAUAUAAGCAAAGUAGGAGUGAGACAGUUGCAAUAAAUACAAUGAGCAGCGAUCGCUCCGUGCCAGCUGCAGAGCUUUGGACACACUGGGCACACAGGGCUGGAGGUGCUGGGACAGCCAGAUGUGGGCUCUGUGGCAUCUGCUGCUCCAAGCAGACCCUGCUGGAGCCAGGGCUGGGGGCACCCCUGGGCACGCAGGGCCUUGCAGUGCAGCACCAGUGCUUCUGACCUGAGGGAUGCAGAGGAGGAAAAGGUGAAACGGCGAGGGCAGCAGUAGAAGGAGGCUCAGAUUACAUCAGGGCUGCCUUUUAAUUGCAUUGUUGAAUUCCAGUUUCUAACUCCCCGAGACGAGACAUCAAACAGAGUGUUAAAAUUGCUCGAAACCAAGCUGCAAGUCUCAACACCAGAAUGCCUAUUACACUUAUCUGUGACCUUUUUAACGUUAAAACCACCAUAUUAUUAUUAUUUUUACAUCUCCACGUUAUUAUUAGGCUUCUGAAAUCUGCUGCAGCUUGAUUUAUGGAAAAUGCUUAGUCACUGGCACCGGUGCUGUGCUGUGAGGGAGGGAUGCUCUGAGGUGCCUUGGCAGCCCAGCAGCCCCAUUGCCCAGGCAGCCCUGUGCCCUCAGCUGCUCACAACCUGCCUGCUGGCAGCCUUCCUCUUUGAAGGCUGUGGGGGAAAUGACCCCACACCCACUUAAUGAACCUCUCUGAUCAACGGGGUCACACCAGCCUCAUUCUUCACGUGAAAAGCAAGCUUUGGUUCUGCUGCAUGCUUUGCCAGGAGCUCUGCCCUAGAUUUUAGACAGGUUGUGGGCUGGUGAAUUUGAGAUUUGGGUUUUGGAAGAAGCACCUUUGGUGACAGAAGCAGGAAGUGCUGUUAGAGAAACCUCCUGCUUUUCCUGGAGCACUGCUGUGUCCUUCGUUGCCAUCCAGCAGCCCUUGGAGUGCUUCCCCACGGAUCUGUCUGUGGAGCCAGGAUGGCAUGGGCUGUCUGGUGAGGUGUAGGGGCACAGCACAGGCUGGGAUGAAGCUGUGGGUCGUUGUGGCUCAUUGCAGGGGACUGGGAUCCAAGGGGCUUGGAAGGUCUGUUCCAAUUCAGCCAUUCUGUGACUCCAUGGCUCUCAAAGCCCAAAUAGGGAAGGGUUCCUGCGCCGAGCCAUGUGCUGCUGUCCGUGACCCUGCUUAGCUGAGCUCAUACCCGGAGCAGACGCUGCAGGACAGGCCCUUACAUGACAGCAUUCAUCCUGGGUUUUACAUACACGAGACCAUAGUAAGUGCUAAUAAUUGGCUGCAGUCUAAAGACACCAAUUAUAAACCAGUUUCUCGCUAUUAUUUGCUGAGUAAUGGCUCUGUUGAAUUCUUCAUAAAGCAAACGCAAGAUCCCAGACCUCAGCCCUGCACCAUGCGUGCCUGCAUGGCUCCAGAGGGACGGCUGCUCCCCUCGUCCUUGCUCACACCUUGCUGUGCUGCAGAGCUGCCAUCCGGACCUCAGCAACAGGCGAAAGGAGAGGGAUAAGAGAUCCCAACUGUCUUCAUCCCAGUUUCUUCUGUGGGUAGGCUUGAGGCUCACUGAUGGAGCGUGCCUCCUUGCAACACACUGGUGUCUUGGAGGUCCAAAUGGGAAGGCCAAAGAACACCCCUGGAGGAAGGAGCUUAGCUUUGCCAUUUGCACUGGAAUAAGCCUUUGUGGAACGUAUUUAAGGAGCUACCAGAAGUAAAACAAUGAUUCUGCUCGGCGGAGUCUGGUGGACAAAAAGAGGCGCAGAUAUAAAGUCCUGAACUGCUGAGAGCAGUUGGAAAUAACGGAUUAGUUCUUCUCUCCUGACUCAACGCCUUUAUUCUUUCAGACAUGAUUUUUUAUUGCCCGCGCUCCUGUAAUGUGUUGUGGUGACUCAGUGAAAGGUCUGCAAUAAUGUUUCAUUGCUGGGAAGUCACCAGAUAGCCACAAUUCAUCGCCCAGGCUCACACGGUUACAAGUGCUUAGAAUACAGCCAGAAACGGGCCGUAAUCGAUAGAGGAGGAUAAAAUAAGAGCUGGGAAAAGCAUUGCAGAGCAUGUAUUGAGGAAUUACACACUCAGAAAGCAAUGUUCUGGACACGUUCUGGGAAUGACAUGAGUUAUCUGAUGCUGUACCUGAUGGGACAGCUGUGCUGCUGCAGUGUACUUUCACCUUUCUGUUCCAGCAGACCACCCCAGGCCCUGCCUGCUCUGUAUGACAGCAGGGCUGCCUGU